GAACGCGAAGAACCUUACCUACCCUUGACAUGCCAGGAAGCCCGCAGAGAUGUGGGUGUGCCCGAAAGGGAACCUGGACACAGGUGCUGCAUGGCUGUCGUCAGCUCGUGUCGUGAGAUGUUGGGUUAAGUCCCGCAACGAGCGCAACCCUUGCCAUUAGUUGCUACAUUCAGUUGGGCACUCUAAUGGGACCGCCGGUGACAAACCGGAGGAAGGUGGGGAUGACGUCAAGUCCUCAUGGCCCUUAUGGGUAGGCUUCACACGUAAUACAAUGGUCGGUACAGAGGGCUGCCAACCCGCAAGGGGGAGCUAAUCCCAGGAAGCCGAUCGUAGUCCGGAUUGUAGUCUGCAACUCGACUGCAUGAAGCCGGAAUCGCUAGUAAUCGCGGAUCAGCAUGUCGCGGUGAAUACGUUCCCGGGUCUUGUACACACC
RNAcentral lists this ribosomal RNA (433 nucleotides) under uncultured bacterium. RNAcentral describes it as "bacterial SSU rRNA". It matches the Rfam family "Bacterial small subunit ribosomal RNA", at positions 957 to 1391 of the family's 1533-position model. The record is from RNAcentral.